Long non-coding RNA from Chlorocebus sabaeus (green monkey), 831 nucleotides. RefSeq lists it as uncharacterized. Lineage: Eukaryota; Metazoa; Chordata; Mammalia; Primates; Cercopithecidae. The record is from RefSeq and is a predicted model, not a curated record.
CAGAUAUAUGAACUCUUUUGGAUGAAUGUGAUACUCUAGGUAAUGAUCCCAGAGACUUCUACAGUGGUUAUUUUAGUGGUUUCUUUGAAGUCUUAAGAGGAGGUCGUAGCAAUAUGUAAGUGAAAGCGUGUCAAAUUGGUAGAAGCUAAAAAAGGUUGGGUUUCUGAGUGAUGUCCUCUCAUUUGAAGAAACCUUGAGCAACUCUUUAGCCAGCACCUGCUGUGCUGCCAAGCUGAACCUCAGAUAACAUGGUGAUGUUCCUGAUUCAUAUGAUCAAGGUCCUACCACCCACAAGUACAUUUCUAGGCUUAACCUUUUAAAUACCUUUGUCAUUUCCUUCCUUCUAAAGCAAUUGUGCAGACAGUGCAAUUUACUGAAUGUUGAGACAGCACAAAAUAUUUGCUCUUUUCACUAAUUUUUCUUUUCUCUCUCUUUUCAACACACUAAACCUUUUCCAAAGGUUCCAGAGGAGGAGUCAAAGCGGCUGUAAUUUUGAUUCAGUUUUAUGGGCAAUAGAAUUAUUUUACCGAUUCCUGGAAUCAUGGCUCCUAUACAUCUGCUCUCUAUGAGCACUUUGGAAAUUAAAGGAUUGCCAGCUUUUCCACUUUGGGACAAAAAACAUUUGUGCUAAACAGCCGACUUUGAACUAACCUUAUUCUCCAACGUCAGUCAAAAUAAUUUUCUCAAUUAAGGUCUGUCAACUAAACACGCAAAAAAUGACCUUCAUGGGAUAGUCCUCAGGAAAAGCUAAUAAAUGAUUGCAAAAUGAGGCAAGGAAAAGCACUUGAGAUGGGGUCCUCACUCUGUCACACAGCCUGGAGUGUAGUGGAA